RNAcentral lists this ribosomal RNA (301 nucleotides) under uncultured bacterium. RNAcentral's name for it is "partial 16S ribosomal RNA". It matches the Rfam family "Bacterial small subunit ribosomal RNA", at positions 509 to 809 of the family's 1533-position model. The record is from RNAcentral.
CAGUAGCCACGGGAAUACGUAGGGCGCAAGCGUUAUCCGGAAUUAUUGGGCGUAAAGAGCUCGUAGGCGGUUUGUCGCGUCUGCCGUGAAAGUCCGGGGCUCAACCCCGGAUCUGCGGUGGGUACGGGCAGACUAGAGUGAUGUAGGGGAGACUGGAAUUCCUGGUGUAGCGGUGAAAUGCGCAGAUAUCAGGAGGAACACCGAUGGCGAAGGCAGGUCUCUGGGCAUUAACUGACGCUGAGGCGCGAAAGCGUGGGGAGCAAACAGGAUUAGAUACCCCUGUAGUCCCUGUCUCUUAUAA